GCCAGUAGUCAUAUGCUUGUCUCAAAGAUUAAGCCAUGCAUGUCUAAGUUCACACCCUUGUACGGUGAAACCGCGAAUGGCUCAUUAAAUCAGUCGAGGUUCCUUAGAUGAUCCAAAUUUACUUGGAUAACUGUGGUAAUUCUAGAGCUAAUACAUGCCAACCAGCUUCGACCCGUCCCGCAAGGGUUGGGAAAGAGCGCUUUUAUUAGUUCAAAACCAGUCGGGUUCUCACAAGGAGCUCGUCCGUUGGUGACUCUGGAUAACUUUUCGCCGAUCGCAUGGCCUCGAGCCGGCGACGCAUCUUUCAAAUGUCUGCCCUAUCAAAUGACGAUGGUACGUGAUCUGCCUACCAUGUUGGCAACGGGUAGCGGGGAAUCAGGGUUCGAUUCCGGAGAGG
This 397-nucleotide ribosomal RNA is filed under the name Euspira intricata. Its description in RNAcentral is "SSU rRNA". It matches the Rfam family "Eukaryotic small subunit ribosomal RNA", at positions 16 to 391 of the family's 1831-position model. The record is from RNAcentral. Lineage: Eukaryota; Metazoa; Mollusca; Gastropoda; Littorinimorpha; Naticidae.